Molecule: ribosomal RNA, 1296 nt
Filed under: Triticum aestivum (bread wheat)
Lineage: Eukaryota; Viridiplantae; Streptophyta; Magnoliopsida; Poales; Poaceae
Description: partial small subunit ribosomal RNA
Source: RNAcentral
AUGGACGUAGUGACUGCUUACCUUUAUGGUUCACUUGAUUCGGACAUAUACAUGAAGGUUCCUGAUGGAGUACCAAUCCCGAAUCCAAACGCAAAACGCAACGCAUAUUGUGUAAAACUAAAUAAGUCUUUAUACGGCUUAAAACAGCCGGGUCGCAUGUGGUACAACCGACUCAGUGAGUUCCUUUUGAAAAAAGGAUACUCUAAUAAUGAUGAUUGCCCAUGUGUUUUCAUAAAAAAGUCCGCAACUGGAUUUUGCACUAUUUAUGUGUAUGUUGAUGAUCUGAACAUCAUUGGAACCACACAAGAUAUUGAUGAAGCACGCAAUCACCUAAAGACGGAAUUUGAGAUGAAGGAUUUGGGUAAAACCGAGUUUUGCUUAGGAUUACAACUUGAGCACCUUCCCUCGGGUAUUUUGGUUCAUCAAACCGCCUAUAUCCAGAAAAUAUUAGAGAAAUUCAAUAUGGACAAAUCCUAUCCAUCCAAAACUCCUAUGGUAGUUCGAUCUCUUGACGUAGAGAAAGAUCAAUUUAGACCAAUGGACAAUGGGGAAGAGAUAUUAGGACCUGAAGUUCCAUAUCUCAGUGCCGUUGGAGCGCUCAUGUAUCUUGCAAAUUGCACCAGGCCUGAUAUUGCAUUUGCAGUCAAUUUACUAGCUAGACAUAGCGCAGCUCCUACUAAACGCCAUUGGACGGGAGUUAAGAAUAUCUUUCGAUAUCUCCAAGGCACAAAGGAUCUUGGCCUAUUCUUUCAAUUUCAGAGAAAUUUGGACAUUGAUAUGAUUGGGUAUGCUGAUGCUGGCUACUUAUCUGACCCCCACAAUGCCAGAUCACAAACCGGUUUUGUGUUCUUACAUGGUGGGACAGCCAUAUCAUGGAAGUCUUCCAAACAGACUCUAGUGGCUACAUCCACCAAUCAUUCUGAAAUAAUCUCUUUAUUUGAGGCAACACGUGAAUGUGUAUGGCUUCGCAGAAUGAUAAACCACAUACAAAAAUCAUGUGGUAAAGGUUCUAUCGAAUCUCCAACCAUUAUCUACGAAGAUAAUGCAGCUUGUGUUGCUCAAAUGCAAACAGGUUACAUAAAGAGCAAUAUCACUAAGCAUAUUUCUCCUAAAUUAUUUUUUCCCCAUCAAUUACAAAAGAAAGGGAAGAUAAACAUUUUGCAAGUCAAAUCAUGCAAUAAUCUAGCUGAUCUAUUCACAAAGUCACUCCCAGCUUCAACAUUUGAAAAAUAUGUUCAUGGGAUUGGUAUGCGACGACUUCGAGAUUUGCAAAGAUCAGGGGGAGAGUCUCUUUGA